CAGCCGUAAACGAUGUGCGUUAGGUGUGUCGGUAACCACGCGUUACUGAUGCGCCGAAGAGAAAUCGUGAAACGCACCACCUGGGAAGUACGGUCGCAAGGCUGAAACUUAAAGGAAUUGGCGGGGGAGCACCACAACAGGUGGAGCCUGCGGUUUAAUUGGAUUCAACGCCGAAAAACUCACCAGCAGCGACUGUUACAUGAAAGUCAGGUUGAUGACCUUACUAGAUUUUCAGAGAGGAGGUGCAUGGCGUAGACGUCU
RNAcentral lists this ribosomal RNA (261 nucleotides) under uncultured archaeon. RNAcentral's name for it is "partial 16S ribosomal RNA". It matches the Rfam family "Archaeal small subunit ribosomal RNA", at positions 748 to 1009 of the family's 1478-position model. The record is from RNAcentral.